This 437-nucleotide long non-coding RNA is filed under the name Dromaius novaehollandiae (emu). RNAcentral describes it as "lncRNA (ENSDNVG00000011662.1)". The record is from RNAcentral. Lineage: Eukaryota; Metazoa; Chordata; Aves; Casuariiformes; Dromaiidae.
UCUGAAUAUUUUCUCUGAUCAGCUAGUAGUAAUCUCUUGUUCUGUCUUGUAGAGACCGAUCUUGAGCUACUUAGCCUUCCUCCUGGAUUGCUGUAGUGUUCUGCUGUGAGUCUCGCAAAGCUACUCUGAAGCUUCAUCUGACACAACGUGAUCAUCUGCCUGUUUAGAGCAAAGAUGUCUGGCAGGCAUUAUCAAAAACAAAGCAGCUAUUAUAGAAGGAUUCUUCAUUCUGUAACAAGCAUAAAAGGACGUUUGAACAGACUGUAUCCAGAGUGAAUACAGAGAAACACGACUCUCCCUUGAAUGUUCUGCUCACUCAGAGGAGUUCACCUGAACACCUUAAUAUUCUGAAGAGUCAUGAGAAAGAUACCAUCUUUUUCCUGCAGAGCUGUGAAAAAGUGUUGACGUGUGUGAYGUACUGCGAGGAGCUCAGCUGA